AACAAAAAACUGAUGUUUCUAUUUCUUGGUCUUUGGAGGGGCUGAUCAGAGAACUCAAUUGCUUAUGUUUCCUCUAUAGCUUACAUUAAAAAAAUAAAUAAAUCAUGUCCCAACAUUCCUCAAUAGAUGUUUUAUGUUUUUGGGUUCUGAAUGCCCCUUGAAUUUUAACAUCUAAGCAGUAAUUUUAGGUUUUCUUCCAUCUUCGACGCUUUUCGCUUUCAUAACCAACUUGUAAAUGUUAAUAAGUCUGCCGUUUGCUUGGUACCUCCAUUUCUGUUUCAAUAGUAUUUCAUUUAACUACGAAAGAAAAAUAAGUAAGAAAACAGAUUUAGUGUUGCUCUUGCAGGCAGUUGUUUCGUGAAAUAUGCAACACUAGAUGAAGCAGACAGGGCUAUCGCCGCCUUGAAUAAUCAGCAUUAUUUUCCUGGGGUGAGUUAAUUUGUUGCUCGAUUGAUAAAUAGAUAUGUACUUAUGUCAUUCAUCAUGUUACUGUUUUGCCAGGAAGUUCUACCAAUCACAGUUAAAUAUGCCGACUGGGAAUUGGAACGCCUUGGUAAUUUUCUAAUGCUUAAGGAAUUUCUUGUGGGACCUUUUUUGGAUUGUAAACCAGAAACUUAGUAUCGUACAUAUUUUAGGAAUUUUUAGGAUCUGCAUCCUUAUUCCUCAAAUGUUUUAGUUUAAGUUCAAUAAAUGUUUCCUAUUGGAUUAGGUCCAUUUACUAAUUUGUAUGCCCAAUUUUAUGAGAUAAUUUUAUAUUUUAUAGAAAAUGUUGUGAGUCCCCUUAUAAUUAUCAAAGCAUUAGAUAUCAUAAAUGUACCAUUUUCCUCAAAAUUUAAAAUACAAUGACUUUCAUUUUGCAUAAAAUUCGUGUUUCUGAAAAUUUGGUCAAUGUGUAUCAAACAAGUUUAGAAUGGAUAUAGAACUACACUGAAAAAAAAUGAAUUGAUAUGUAUCAAAUGAGAUCCAUAAUGAAUAUACAACUAUGUAGAAAAAAAUUUUUGAAUUAAUAUUCUUGUGAGACAGAUGCAGUAUUAACACGCAUCAGAGUCCACUUUUUCACAUCAUGAUGUAAUACAAUUCAAUGUUCUUUUUAUUUUUAAUAAUGUAUCUGUUUUAGCUGUAUAUUCGUUCAAUUUUAUUCAUCACGAUUCCUGAAUUUGUAAAAAAUAAAGCUGUUGUUCUUCAGCUUGAAAGGUUGGAUUCUUGUUAAGGUAAGAUCCAACACCCAUUUUUUAUUAUUAUAAGAAAAUAAGGGAUGAAUAUUAAUUGAUUGGGUCUUCAGUUAUAAAAGGAAUAUAUUAGUUACCACUGUGCUAAUGAGGAAGGUAUGAAUUUCAUAUUUGAAGGUUGGUGACCGCAAAGAUGAAAUAUUCUUUUACUUUCUAUCUUGCUUUUACUUUCUAUUUUGUAUGCUUAUGACUUUUGUUAUAUUGUUUGUAUUGUCUUUAUCCUUGUUUUUGUUUUGCUAGUAAAAUAAUAGAAUAUCUUCUCUCAUGCCUUUCUGUUUUAAAUAACGAGAAUGUAAUGUGCAAUAAAGUGUAUUGUGUGUUUUCAACUGACAUAUAUAGGGUGUGUUUUGGAGUGUUUUUGUCUGUGAAAAAAGCACUUUGAGGUGAAUAUGCAGGAUGUACGUAGGGUUUUAAUGGAACUUUUUUGUGCUUCUAAUAAAAGUCACUUAGUAAAAGGCUUCUUGUAAAAGCCUUUCUAGUCAGGCCAUCUGAUGAAUUUUGUUUUUCUUGUACUUUUGGUAGCGGGACUUGACAAGUUGUAUGUGUGUGGCCUGAACAAGGAAGCUUCAAGGAAAGAAAUUGAGGAAGUACGGUGAAUGUUUUCUUACUAUCACAACCUCAACUAAAUAAUUUACUCAUGUAUUCAACAGUACAUCGCUACAGAUGUAUCAUGCAUUUGUGCACAUCCAUUUGUUUAUGCAUGCACAUCUUUUCUUAUGGAUAUGCACUUAUGCAUGCUACUUGCAUGGAAAAAAACAAUAUUCUUCUCAACCCAUUUUUGGUUAUAUACUCCCUCAACUCUUUUCAAGAUGUUCAGAUUUAUAUGGUGCUUUCUAUGUCAGAUAUUUUCGCCAUAUGGUUUUGUUGAAGAUAUCUACAUUUUGCGUGAUGAGAUGAGGCAGAAUCGUGGUAUUUUUAUUUUUCUCAUUGUUGAUCUCUCUAUCCUUUAUAACUUUGAGUUGCAUGUUAUAGACUGGGUAGGUUGAAGAUAUCUACAUUGUGGGGGCUGAUUAUGCUUGCCUCAAUAUGGUAUUUUCAACCUAAUGAUGUCCUGUGUUCUAUUUGACGUCACAAGAACUGGAGAUAUUCUGAUUUGCAUGCUUGCUAGUUACUUAAGAGGGUAGAAGUAGGUGGUGGAUAUCGUAGCCAGUAGUUUUAAUUUUUAUAUCUGUCAGCACUUCAGUUGGGGUCUAUCGUAAUUUAAUGGUGAAAUAGUAUCUUUCUUUAUUUUAGUCAUAUAAUUUUCUGUAAAAUCUAAUGAAAGAUUUGUAUGGAAUCGCAUAUUGCUAAAAACCCGUUACUGUUUCUUUGUGCUGGCUAAUGCUUUUUUUUAUAUAUCUUUUUAUGGUUUUUUUAAAGGGACUGGAUUUGUGAAGUUUUCCCAUAAAGAUAUGGCUCUGGAAGCAAUCAAAGCAUUAAAUGGAACCUUCAUUAUGAGAGUAAUGCUUUUGUAUUGCUUAGUAACAUGCACUGAUUGUGUCAUUACACUUUGAAGGCAUCUAGUUUGAUUCUUCUUUUCUAUGUUACUUCAGGGUUGUGCUCAGCCGUUAAUUGUUCGCUUUGCAGAUCCUAAGAAACCGAGGGGAAUAGAAUCAAGGUUAUGCUUUGUAACAUUCUUAGAUACGUGUGUGUAUGCCGAGAGCUUUUAAAGAGAGAUCUCUCUUUCUGAGAGGAAAAAGGGAUGCAUGUGAGGCCCAUCUCCCAGUGCAGUAUAAAGAUCUUGACCAUCCCUUUUAUAGAUUCCCAUGACCCUUAUAAAAGGCUUGGCCAAAUCAUAAACCAUUUUGUCAUCUAACUUUGAUUAAAUUAUAGACUAACAUAGUUUUUUCGACAAAUUUUGAAAUGUUCAUGAUAAUAAACAAAUAGCUAAGCAAUUUGCUCUUUUGUUUUUUAUUUUUAUUUUUAUAAAGAUGAUCCUUGAAUGGAAGCCUUAAAAAUGGAUGGUUCGGAUCAUUGGACAUUGCAUGGUGAACCCCAACACGGGGUUCACUUUCAUGAAAAUAUGGGAUCCCUCUUUGGAUGGGACCACACGUUUUGGAAAAAAUGAAACUGCUCAGUGGUCCAGAUUUAUGGUCUGGAAACGUUUACCAGUCACCCAAAAGCAACUUUUUAUAUCUGGUUUUAAAGUAAACAGAAACGUUGGCUGAAAGACAGAUGUAUACAAGAUGUAUACGGUAUUAACUGAUAAUGUUCUUGUUUGAUUUUGGGGCAGUUAAAUCGUUGUGAAAUUUUCUAAAUUUGAAUUCUCUUUCUCUAGGGGCAAUUAUUUAUUUAGCAACACAAACAUUGUUCCCCACUCUCAAGAACCAGUUGUUAGGUACAAUUCUGUCUUUAUACAUCUUACAUUUCAUUUGUCAUUCUGUUUGUUAGUCUUGACUGCUUGUCUUCUGCUUUGCUCUUUUCAGGCCAGUAUCUGAUCAUGGUGAUUCCACUGGAGGGUAUAAUAUACAUAAUGCAUCGUAUCCUGUUCAACAAGCUUCACACCCGCCUAUUUCCCAAUUGGCAAACCAUGAACCCCAGGCUUCUAGUGUCAUACAACCACCAUUUCCUCCAUCAAAGUCACCUUCACAGUUGUGUAGGAUGCCUUUACAACACACACAAAUUACGCAUUCUCGGACUUCUCAAGUAGAAGUUAAUGAGACCCAGAAGCAGCAUCUGACGCAACCAUCAGGGCAAAUUAUUGGGCAGCAGCAGAGUUCUCAGGUUAGUGGGUAACAAUGAUAAAUGAUUUAUCAGGCUGCCAAAGUGAUGAGUGAUCAAGUAAUGAUGUAUAUUGUUAAUUAUUCAAAUUAAAUUUUAAGUGGGGAUUCCUUGCUCAAAGAUGUUCGUUUGUACGUGUAUCAUAUAUAUAACACACGAGGCUUUGAAGAGGUUAACCUUUGAAGGGAUACGAUCAUGAGCAUGUUGUCACAAAUAUGUCGUGUAGCUACUGCUUGUGACACCCUGUGUUUGUUGAAUUGUUUGUGUAUGGGCUCUUUAGAACCAUAGGAAUCAUGUCUAUCCUGUUAAAUGAUUAUUAUGCAUGUGGGAGGGAGUAACAUUGGCUAUAGUAACCCUUUAAGUAUUAAAAAUAGGAGGCUUUUAGUCGUUUCUGGAACUUUUUCAUUGGUGGAUACAAAAUUGCUAUAAAUGUAUGUUAAAUUGUUCUGUGGUAGUUAUGUGGUGCACGAGUGGCAGCGCACACAAUUUUACUAACAAUGAUUUUGGUACUUGGUGACUCGUGCAAACUCUUUUCUGCCAUGCUGUGAUAUUGGAAACUGUGCAAAUACGGUGGUGUCUUGUUGUCUUCUAUCGUCUCCAAAAACUGGACGCAAUCCUCAGACAGUUGCUAGCAAUUCUCUCUCAGCGGCAGUUCCUUCAAAUCACGAGAUAGCAGCUUUCAUAGAGUGUGACUGGAGUGAACAUAACUGCCCUGAUGGAUACAAGUAUUAUUAUAAUUGUGAAACUUGUGAAAGCAGAGUAUGUUUCAGUCUUUGAAAAUCUUCUUCAUAUGACAUUUAGGUUUCUUAGUUCCAGAAGAUAUUGAAAUGUCCUAUUCAAAAUAAUUGGGAACAUAUGAUUAAUGGCUGUGUUAUCUGGUCUACAGUGGGACAAGCCUGAGGAGUUUGCCUUAUUUGAGCAAGCAUUGCAGAUGCAGACGCAGCAGCAAAAUCCUUCUCACCAUCUUAAAUCUAUGUCGUCGGUUCUUUCUACCCAACAUAGUGCUCAAACACAGCAGGUACAGAUUCAGACACAGGCCUUCCAUCAGACACUACAACUUCAGAAACCUUGCUCAUCUGCGCCGGUUUGUUAUUUUCACUUAAUUUUUCAUUUUUAAGAUGGUUUUUCUGUUGUAAUGUGAAUAAGGCGUCGUCUUUUUGCUAGCGAUUGGCACUGGGUACCCAUUAGGUGUUAGGGAUGUUGUAAUUGGGGUGUUUGGGGAGCUGCUGCGGGGGGUGGGGUUUGUUGGGGUGUUGUGUGGUGGUGAUGGUGAUGGUGAUGGUGGGUGGUGCCCAUGGGUCCCUACUUGUUUGUGGAAUAGUUAGGUUUACUUUCUAUGUUAUGUGGCUGUUUUCACAUUAGGCAAGCAACAUCCCUAUAAAAAUUAGUAGCUAGUGUAAGAAUUACCCAAAUAGAAAUUGUUUUAGCACACUAUACGAGCUUCAAGUGUAAAGAUUCAAUUUGAGUAUGUCUCUUUAGCACUACUGGAAGCCGUGAUAGUGUAAAUAAUGUCCAUGUGGACGAGGAUGGAUAUGGUAUUGUCAAUAACAUGCUGUGGUUUUGUAGGAACUGGAUCAUGUGCAAAUCCAGCCAGAAACAAAUCCUGUUGUUGGCCCAACCUGUGUUUGACAGGUAUUGAUUAUGUAAUUUACAAUUCACUGAGGCAAUUGCCACAAUGCAUUGGUUAGAAGUGACUUUGAGCACCUCACGAAAGUUCUAGCCAUUCUUUUUGCUUUCUAUGCAGAAUGGCCAAUUUUUCCAUUCUUAAAGAAAAAAAUGGCAUGCAACCCCGUCCCAGUCCUUGGAGGAUUGAAUCAUCGGUAAACUGUUGGUACAUUUGCAAGAUUGUGACAUUACUGGUUCACUCCCUAUGUCCUUUUUUCCCUCAAUUUUAUUUUAUUGUUGAAGUCACUGCGAUUAACGCAAAUUGAAGAGUUGCUAGUGCUGAGGGUGACUAUUGUACACAAUGAAUGCAAUCCAGCGCAGGGGGACCAUAUUGUGUGAAUGUAACAUUUUCCCCACUCUCGGGUCAAGAUGCAAACUUCUGCGAACUGUACUUUAUUGGUCAUUUCAAUUUAUCUUCUCAUCUUAAGCUGCUGCUGUAGGAAAGAGCAUCCAGAAGCAUUUAAUUGCUGAACAAUAGUGGUGGAAGCUUAGAACAGGGUGUAAUAUGUAUUAGACACAGGUGUAGAAAUGUUGCCAUCUACGCUUAAAUUAUGGAGUCUUUAAUCUCAUGCAAUCGGCUUGUUACUUGCCCGGAGAUUUGUAUCAUAAACCAGUUAUUUACAUAACAUGAAGCAUAUUAUGUACUUUUUUGUCAUACUGCCGCUGGCUGAAACAACUUAACAGUAGUUGACAAAAAAGCUUUCAUGCCCAUAUUUUGUGAAGUCUUGUUCUCUGCAGGCCUCUUGAUAUAUCCUGAUUUUUCAACUGGAGUUUAAAAGUAUGAUUAUCCAAACCCAUACGUUGGUUGGUUCCUCUAUAUACUCAAUAUUUUGUGAAAAUUUUGAUAUAUACUUAUAUUCAUGUGUGGCAUACCGUGAUUAGUCAAGGAUAGCAGUGUUUCUCCUGCAUGCGGUGAGAGUGCACGGGACAAUGAGUUAGGAUUAAGAUAGGUCAAUGUUGGAUUAACAAACCAAUAAAAAUACUUUUGGUUCCCAUGGCCAUGGCAAUUGACUAAGCAGCGCAAAAGUUGUGGACAAAAUGGCCACGGAACAUGUAAGAGUGCAUAUGACUCAAUACAUGGGUAGAUAUUAUUCCAUUAUUAAGACAAAAGAAUCACACAGGCGGAUUAUCCUUAAUGUGAAGGCGGUGCUUAGUUUAUAUGGCAGAAUCCAUAUCCCAUUCCAUCUAUUUAUUCAAAUUCAAUGCAUCAAAAAUGGAGGGUGAGAUUUGAUGUGGCAUAAAAACGAGAAAGCAAGGCAUUUAUUGUCCAAGAGGCUCAAAGUGGGGCGGUAGAGAUUUUGAUCUUUGAGUUGCCUUUUCUUGUAGCAUACGCAUGCAUAGUUUUGGGACAGCGCAUUAGAUGUUGUCACCAAAUCUUCCCAGUUGCAGCCCCUUUUUCUAGAAUCAAUGGUUUUUAUGUGAAUUCCAAGGGGAGAAGGAAAAAGGGAAAAAUAUUAAAAAUUUAAAUAAUAAAUAAACAAAUAAGCAAAGAGGGCUUCUUCAUUAAUUGUGGGUCUGGACUGGACGGACUACGCAGAAAACCCUAACCCUCAAAAUCAUGACUGCGCAGCAGCACUAGUACUGCUACUCUCCAAAUGAAAUCAAUGCACAUUCCUUCCACAGCAAAAACAAAGAUAUAGGACAAACAAGGGGUCAGAAUAAUUAAGCAAACCCAUUUUCCAUAUACCACAAUAUCUUUACAUACCCAACCCCACAUUUCCCCCCUAUUUCAGAGGCUCUUCCACACACCCCACACCCCACACCCCUCAAGAGGAAAAGAAAACCCAAAAGAAAAAAAAGAAAAGAAUAUCUGAUGAGGUAAAAAAACUAACUACUACCAAGUACCUGCAUUGGAUUAAAAUAUCCAUGUUCCAUGGUUACAGUGAUAAUCACCAUCAGGAUUAGCAAGAGCACCUGAUCUCAAAGCAAGUCAGUAACCUAAAUUAGUACAUAAUUAAGUAGCAUUGCAUUAACUAAUGGGAUCUCAUCUCAUGAUCAGGUACGGCCAUGGUUAUCUAUAAACAUACAUAUAUUUAUAUAAAUAUAUCUACUCUUGCUUCAGCAUAUGGGAGGGGACUAUGUCUUGAAGAAGCCCAUGGUCUGUCAACAUAGCAGAACCAGUUGCUGGGGUGCAAAACCGCCUUUCGCUAUGAAAGCCGGUGCCGCUAGCAUUUGCUGUUGGUGAGCCACCAUUAACAUAGUUGCAGAAAUUGAAAGGUUGCAGUUGCUGUUGAUAGUGAUGAGAUAAUAGGGUUCUGGGCAUUGAAGGCAUGGCAAAGGUGGUAGAGAUAUUGGGUUGAGCAGAAGCCGAAGCCGUGAGAGUUGGGCGAGGUAUGAGUGGGCUUGGGUGUGUGUGUUGGCCUUCAUAAGUUGUCACAACGAUGCUUGGGUCAUUGAAAGAUCGCUCCACUCGCUUCUUCACAUUACAUGCUGUACUUGUGCAUCGAUAGUAACUCCUACAAUCAACCAAAAUCAUGAAAUACAUACAUAAGAUCAAAGAUAAAAAAAGAUAAUAAUAAGUAAGAUUAUGAUUUCUGAUUCAAAACCCAUAACUAAUUUAAUUCUGGGUUUUGAUUAAUUUGAACUGAGGAUGAUUAUUAUUAACAAGCAGUUAGCAAUGCCAUGAUAAUAAAUAAGUGUUAAUUUGGCACUGAAGUUUAGAGUGAGUACCUGGGGAAGGGGCUGUUUUUCACAGCUUUUUGACCGUACUUUCUCCAUCUGUAGCCAUCUUCCAGAUGAUCAACCUCACUCUUGGUCAUGAAUGCAAAUCUGGGUUCUCUCUGUCUCUUCUGACUUGCCUUCUUCGCUUUCAACCUUUGCUCAUCCACACAAUGAACACAAAGAAAAAACCACCUUUCAUCAGUACAUCAUCAGGCUUUUUAUUAUAUAAUGAAAGUUGAGUUCACUUUAACCCAAAGUCCCAAUUUUCAAUUUCAGGUCGCUGUACUAUAAAUCCCAAAAUGAUAAAAAUCCCAUCUUUAUCUUGAUCUGUUAGGAAAUGGGUCUCUCUAAAAAACAAAACUUAAAGCAAAGCAGGAAUGAAAAACUCACUCUUUCUUGGUCUUUGGUUGGUCAUGUUCUUCUUCUUCAUCUUGGUCUGCAGCACCUUUAUUAUCAGUCUGUUCCUCGUUCAGAGCCUCACUGGAUGCAGAUGAAAUCGAUGAAGAGUUUGGUGUUGCAGGCUGCUGAUUCAAAGAGUAGUCGGAGCACUCCUUUGCCAUUAUGGAAGUUUUUGGAAAGUUUGGAGCUAAUGAAGGCAACAUAGAUGGUGUCUGAGGCAAAUAAUCAAACAAGGAGUUAGUACAAAAGUCCUGGCCAGCACCCAAAAGCUCCAUAAACCCUAAAGAUGAGCUCUUUUCUCCUUCACAGAAAUCAAAUAUGCCUGAAAAUGGUGAUGAGGAAAACCCACAUCCAAUAUUGGUACUAUUGUCCUCCAUCUUUACCACAUCCUUCUUCACAUCCAUUGCUUACUCUCAAUACAGAAAGAGCUACUCUUCAUCAAGGGCUAGAAAGAGAAAGUGGGUUUUGUUUGUCUUAGUGAGAGAGAGAGAGAGAGAGAGUAGGGUAGGGUUGAUCUGGUUUAUAAGAUUUGGGAGAGAGAAGAAAAGGAGAGCGUUUUGGGGUUGGAGAAAAAAGUAAAGAGUUUUUUUGGGGGUUAGGGAUUGAGAGUGAGAGGGUAGGCUGGGGUUGGCUUUGGCUUGGCCUCAAAUAUUGACCGGCAAUUGUAGGUCAAGGGUUGUGUACGGAGUAGGCAGAGUAGCAGUGGCAAAAAUUGAAUGCAUGGUUCCGACAAAAUGGUCGACGCUUUCAUACAGUGACCUUUGACCGGUUAACCGGUUUUUUUUUUAUAUUUUUAAAAAAUUCGUAAUGUGAACGGGGUUUCAUUACACGUGACCUUCUUACGGCUACACAAUACAACUUUGAACCUCACUCGUGUGUAAUCUUGUGCAUGCAUGUGAACUCAACCAAGCGAUAACUUUGCUUUUCAUAUUUAAUUUCUGCAUUUUUCCUCUUUUUUGAGUACAAGCGAUAGUCUAAACUGUAAGAGAAUGAGUUUCUCAUACACACAACACGGACAACUAAGAUAUCACGGAAUUCGAAUCUGAGACGUCUGAUCUACAAAUCAAAGACCCUUUUUCACUGAAACUAAACCCCAGUAACUUCAUAUUUACAUUUUAAUUUGUUGUUUGUAACUCAAUGACUCAAAGUCAAAGAAGACCAUAUUAUUUAUAAAAAUGAAGGAGAAAUAAUGAAUGGGAAUGUAGUGGCGUUUUAUAAUUGGUGCUGCAGGUGAAGUACAAGUAUAUAUAUAAGUGAUGAGGGAGGAUAUAUAUGUUAAAUCCUCUUAUAGAAUUAAUUAAUAAAUUAACUAGAAUUAAAUCGAUCGACUUGAUUGAAUACAAAUGACUUUAUUUGGAGAUAAGAGAUAGUUUCACACUUGAUGACAGCAAAAAGGGUUUUUAUAGAAGGCUAGACGACCUCUUUGACUGAUUCACAAAUGUUAAAAUUGGGAAAUAUUUAUAUUUAAGACCCACCAGAAUAAUUAAGGAAGUUGCCAUAUCCUCGAAACAAUUCUUAGAUAUUCCCUAUCGCAUAAAAAAUCAGUGAACAGGACAAACUUUAGGUGCAGAUCAUGAGCAGAAUUCUUUAAUCAUGUGUUUAAAAUUUAAUUAUGAUAAGAGUAUCAACUUUAAUUUUAUUUUUAAGGUGUGAAAUCAUAUGUUAUCUUUCUCCAUAGUCGGUGGUUAAUGCCUUUUUGCUGCUUUUUAUCUUGCACCGAAUGCACAUAAAAUCCCUACAGAAAAAUAAAAUAAAUAUUUUUUAAAAAAAAGGCCAAAGACACGAUCGACUUCUUUUCUCUUUUGGUGAAACUGUAGGCCAAAGUUGCACCCCCACGUGUGGCUUACCACGCACACACACAAAGAUAAAACAUGCUGACAUAAUUUCCGUGUAACUUUGCAUGCCUAUAAUUAUUGUGUUUCCAACUUUUCUUGGUAAAACAAUUAAAUCACUCGUUCAUUUUUGAGGCGUUUUUAAUUGUUUUUUGUUUUUUGGUUUUUGAUGUUGGCUGUUGAUGGAUCCCAAUACUAUCAUUUCAUACUGAUAUACACUCAACCAUGCUGAGGUCAGUCAGUGCAUGGUUAUUGCAAGAUAACAUCAUUGCAAUUUUGCGAUGCCACACAAGCCAUCCAUAUACUUCCAUUUUUAUUCCUCUAUUUUUCCUUUUCCGUACAUAUGUCUAUCUUAUUAGUUACACAAAUUCGAAAUCUCUAAUUAUGUUGUUAUGCAAUAGUUCAAUUCAAUCCUAUAUUCAUAUAUAGUAACAUGAGACACUAAUUAUGUUAGAUGACAUACUUAACCUUAUAUUAAUGGGGAGAAGGUUUAAUUCAUGGAAGAAUUAGAAAUUUUCAGAGUAGUGAGCUAUAAAUUGAUUUUUUCAUUUGUUUUGCGUGGGUGGCUAACUGUCGUUUUCUUGGAAGCUGCUCGAGUAGAGUGGGCCAAUUUUGCCUAAAGUGACAUGGGCUAAUUAAUUUCUAUUGGACUAGGGUCCACCCUAAUCUAAAGGCAAUUCUGUCAUUGGAUUUAACUAUUACCAUGAGUCUAAACCAUUUCAAAAGAUACAUUUCUCUAAAUAUAUCACAAAUAUUUCGGAAAUCUUGGUGCAAGAUCAUAUUAAGAUCUUAAAAAUUGGUCUUGACUGUUGAUCCUUUGUCUAGUUGUUUGUUUAAUUUGAACUUGUGUGAGGAUUAGUACUGAAUACAUAGCAGUGGAAUUAGGUUAAAUAAUCCUUGUUAUUAGUCAUGAUUGCACAAAUGGAAGAACCUACAAAGCUACUUACUUUUGCCCUUUGUUUUGUUUGACUGAAAGUUGAGAACGUGCUUUUUUAGUACUUGGGUUUAGCUUUUUUACACCGAUCCUCAGCUGAGCUGAGGAUGUUUUGUUGACACAUCCUCAGGUCCUACCCAAACAAAGGAGAGUGACGUCUACAUGAGCCAUCCACACCUCACACAUUUCCAGCACCAAUUGAUCCGAAAAGUAUGAAGAGAAAGAGAAAUAUGAGGCAAAAGUAAUUAGCUCCGAUGUUUUCUUUGCCUGAUAAGAUGGCUGUAACUUUCUUGGAGAUAAAAUCUUCACGCGGUUUCGGAAUAUUUUGGGUUUCUUAUGCAACACGCUUUCGAGAUCCUGCGUUCUGAGUAUUUUGUGUCUUCUUUAGCGGAAGAUGUUUUUUUUUUCCUUAAUUUAUUUACUUUUUUUAUUUUAGUUAGAUAAUGGUAGUGGACUGGUAGUAUGCGACUGUUUGACUAGCAUUGCUUUUGCUUUUGCUUUUUGUGUACGUUUAGGAGCUUUCAAAAACAGCCAAAACAACUACGAAUUGAAUAAUAAGUCUCUGUUUUGUUGUGUUGUGAAAAGUCUCCUCCUUCCGUUACAAGCCCAAGUUCUUCCAGACUCAGACCCCAAGAUUUGACCAUGGUCACUAGUCCAUGCCCCCUGCUACUAUUGUCUAUAUCCCAUCUCUCCAACUUUUCUCAUCGGUGAAAUCUUCUUCACUCGAUUACGGAUUAAUAAAAAUAUUUUCAAAUAAUUUUAAAAAUCAUUUUUAAGUAUUUUUGUUCACAAAACACUCGGAUUUUAAAUGAAAAUUUCAACGUACAUCUAUAUGAUAAACUGUUUUCUUUAAUAACAAAGAACAACUGAAAGAAGAAUCACAUACGAAUUAUAUAUCUAAAUAUAUCAAAUUGUGGUCUAAAAAGAACCUUGAGAAGGGAAAAUUACGAAACCAAAAAAAUACUAGAGUGAUGAUAAUUCAUAAGGAGAGAAGAUGUGACAAUAUGGAAGUAAACGCACUACCACUACAAGCAAGCAUUGAGACCCUACCACCCUACCAAAGAUAAUGUCUCAAGUUGGAUAGCAUUUGGUCCAAAAUGAACCACCAAUUAAGCUCAACGCCGGUUGACAGGGAUUGUAAUAAAUAAGUUUGGCAUAGUGUCUCCCAUCUCUAUCACAACCACAGAAAAAAGCUUGUAAUAAGAAUAUUUCUUCUUCUUCUUUCUCUCUCUCUCUCUCUCUCAUAAUUCUCUUUUUCUUCCAUGUCCUUUGUUAUUUCUAUUAUAAAUCAUGACUAGUUAACUGCCUCCAUUAUUGCCGGGUCAUAAGCUAAGAUUUCUUGUUAAGUGUUGCUCAUGGUUUGUAAUUGGUUACAAAAUUUCUUACUCCCACCAAACCGUUGCUUUAUUUAAACAAAAAGAUCAAUCACCCACUUGAAGCGUCACAUUUAUCCUCUUCAUGUGACUAACAAUUCAAUUAAUUAUUACAAAACCUGUAAAUAAUUAUAAAUAAUGCAACCCAACACCCAUAAUUAAAUAUUUAUAAUCUUUCAAAGGUAGCAGAUGUUCUAGAAGUUUGACAUAAUUGAUUGGGGUCAUAUGACUCGUGAAAUGGGUUACUUUUGGUUGGUAGUCUUUUUGUGAGUCAUCAGUCUUAACCUCAUCUGCAUUCGGAGAUGAAAAAGUUGAGGCUGAGAGAUGCACAUGGAACUUGGAAGGGAGGAAGUCAAAGCAUAACCAUUCGGCAAGGGUUGAAUAUAUAUAUUUUGUAACAGCUCAAGGCUCGGGGUCAGAUGGCUAGAAAGAGACAAUUUUAUUUUAUUAUUAGCUCCAAAAUUUUAUGUUUCUUCUUGUACCUUGUUGAGAAAAUAAAUUAAACCAAUGGAGAGUUUUACACUUCUCCUUCACCUAUUUGUCCCCUAUACGAUAUGUGCAUAUAUGUAGCUAUUGCCUGCCUAGUGGAUAGUGGAUAGGAAAUAUACACAAGCAAUUUGAGUGACAGCAAUCCAAACACAGAGCAUAUCUUCAGUUUAUGGCGUUUGUUGAAGCCCUACAUUUGAGAAUAUUUGUCAAGGUAGUACUCAGAUGAAUAAUUUGAGAUGAAGAAAGUCAGCAAUUGAAGCUACAUUAGUAGGUUUAAAGAGACCGUCGUCGCUUAUGGUAAUAGGCAUCGGCUUUUUUCCGAUGUCUUUUCUACCCUGAAAAAGGUAGAAAAUAAAUUCAUGAAAAUUGAGGUAAUAUUAAUAACAAACUUUCAUUUUAAAUUCCAACCACAGUUGAUUUGAUAGUAGCAUGCAAUAUAGGACAUUCAUUGUCCAUGUAAAGCCAGUGGUACAUAUUUUACACGGAGAAGGAAAAAAAGGCAAAAAGGUAAAAUUCCAUUCCAUCAACCCAUACCUUGGUGCUUGGUGAACAAACAAAGCAUCUAUAUCUCUUCUGUGGAAAAUAUUAUAGGCCCAAAAGUUCAAAGCUGAUUCACAUGCAUAAUGCAUAAUGCAUAUGCAUGCAGCCAGCCAGCGAGCCGUGUGAAAUGUUUCGUGUCUUUGUUCUUGGUUGCUGCUGCCGACACAUCUUUUUUUGUACAUCCUGAAUUGGAAAAUCCAGAAACCAAAUACUCAACCUAAUUGUCGGCCCAUUUAUCAACUUUGUUCAAAUUUGUUUCACACAAUAAUUAAUUAAACACGUGUUCCAUUUCAUAUUGCAAAAGCAAUAAUAGAGGUUUUCUUCUUCGAUUAGUUCUUUAAUUUUCAAGAGAGUACUCAAAACGCAGUAGCAUAUGGGAGCCAUGUGCAAAUCAUACUGUAAGUGGGAUAUAUAAUUUUUUUCUUUUUUUUUGUUAAAAAAAAAAAAGAAAAAGAAAAAGAAAAAGAAGGAAGUUCGUCUUUGUUUUGAACGUGCAGUAGUGAGAAUGAAAAUGAGAAGAAGAAAUAGAGAAUUGCAUAUGCAUAUAAGGAGAGUUUUGAACUUGUAACACAUUUCGGCGUGUGAAAGGCCGAUUAAACCAAUCAGUAUUAUAGAAUAAACCCUAGAUUUACAUGUUUAAAAUCACCCAUUGAUGAUUAAACCAAUACUAAUAAGCUUAUAGUUAUUGCAAAUAAAUGUGUUAUUCCACGUGGGCCUAGCUGACCCAACUCCUUCGGCUCAGCUUUAGUUUUAUCAACGGUCUUAUGUGUAACGAGAUCAGCCCAAGAUGUUAUCCUAGUGUAGAGGCCCGGAUGAAAAGCCUUUUAACUAGUCCUAUCAUAACUGGCCGUUAGGGUUCGGUAAAUGUUAGCAAGGAUAGCUGUUCGUCGGUCCAAAUCCGUUUUUAGCCAUCCCCAUUCGAUCUAAUAUAGAUUUGAUUUUGAAAAGAAUCGAGUAACCUAGGGUUUAGAUGUUAGCAAGGAAAUUAACGGUUGCGUGCCAACCGUUAAUUUCCCAGAAAAUACAUGCUAUUGACAAAUAAACUAAAGAGUAAAUAUUCACUAAACCACUUAUCAUCAACUUGCUUUUUCCACACAAUAAAAUGACCAAGCUCUUUACAAACUGUAGACAGCCUGAGAGCAUGCAUGUACUCUGGACUUCCCAAACCCAAACAGGUUUCUAUGACUAAAUCACAAGAGGAAAAACAGGAAGAAUAAUAAAAAGAAAAAAGAAAAAAAGUACUUUUAAAGAAUUGAAAAAAAAAUAAAGAAUACUAUUCUUUACAGAAAUGAAUGAGUCACUCAUCAUGAUGAGAACCAGGUGCCAAUGCCUGAACCAUAAUUUGCAAGAGCGUUACUCUACUUUGCAAGGACAAGAUGUAAUCAACUGUCUCUCUGAAGAGUCCAUCCAACCCCGUCGACGAAUCGGUUUUUGGGAUCAGUCUCUUCAAGGUUUUCACCCUUCUUUGGAUCCCAUUGCUGCGCAUUCUUGCACUUUGUUGGAGGCGCUUCAGUGUCCCCCUCUUCUUUAAUAUCCUUCUUCUUUUGGUUGUUCUCUUGUUCUUCACAACUCCUCCACUUUCCCUUGUGAUGAUCAUAUUAACUUUGUUCCACUUUGUAUAGGACUUUCCCUCAUUUUUUAGGACCAUGCCCUUCAAAUCAAGGGAAACAAGGAGAGGAUUCUGAGAACCCAUGAUUCAGGAGCUAAACACAGUAGCUUGCUGUCCUUGAGAAAUCCUUAUGAUUCAAGCCAAAACACUAUGGCUGCUAUAGCAGAAAUGGCAUAAUUAAGGGUUUUUAUAGGGUGUUAGCUGGUAACUGAGUUGGCGGCCAUUAAGGAUAAUACAGAUUAGUUAAUUAUGUGUAUUAAUUAAUUAAUUAAGGCAAAAGUAGGGGCCACAAGACAAUUUCAUAGAAGGCCUCCUCCAAGGGAAUGGGGAUAAAUGAAUGGGAUGAUGCCAAGUGUACAUAUAUUAUUAUUGGUGUUGUUAAUGCUUGUUGCUUUGGGCAUGUUCUCCAACUUAUGCACAUGCAACCACAUGAUUCUUAAGAAGCCCUUCUUAAACCACCACCACCUUUCAUCACGCCUAUCCCACGAAAAACACCCUGGAUUAUUCUUCCUUCCCACUUUCCAAAUUCAAUGCUUUACUUAGAUAAUGCAAAUUGGGGGUCCUUAAUCUCCUCAUCAUUCCAGCUCAGUCAACAUGGCCUAAAACUUUUCUAGGGUUUUUCAUGGUGGUUAGGCCUUGUUUCCAGGCAGGAAACCUAGAAUAAAUAAAACUAAAAGGAACUGGAGUGCCUGCACAUAACAUGUUAGAAUUGGUGGACAAAUUAGAUCUUAAUGUUGGGAUAAGGUAGAUUUGGUUCUGACAUUCAUGAACCCCAUUUUGCAUCAAACUCAUGAUUGAUGUCUCGAACUUGUUAGAAAAAACAAUUCCUAAGCCAUGUUUGUAACAUGUCUCUGUAUCAUGGUAACCCCCUCCAAACUUAAAACUCGGACAAUCUCACAGAAAAAGAUGCAUGCAUCUUCUGUCUGUCACUUGCACUUUCGGUGGAGAGAGAUAUAUAUAUAUAUAUAUAUAUAUAUAUAUAUAUAUACCAAUGCAUGCAUGCAGUAUUAGUUCACUUGGAUUGGAGAUUACCAUAAAUAAAUAAAACCAAAACCUUCUGAGUAUUUCGAGAAUUUGAAUCAUUGGUUCCAUUAAUUUUUUCCCCUCCAAACCAAUUAUCCCCACCAUUGAUCUACAAGCAAAGCUUAAGCAGGAGCCAGAGAACAUGAUGCACAUGCAAAUGCGGUUGCAGAUCCAGCAUACUGAUAUAGUUACCUGGCCAGCACUAUCCAAGUCCAUAGAUCGAAUGGUUCUGAAUAUGCAACGUGGCAAAGUUUAGAGCACGAGGUCUUGUGCACCUUCACCAUCUGUGGCGGGGCUAGCAAGCUACUUAAUUAUAAUUAUAAUUAUGGUUAUGCUAAUUAUAUAUAUUGAACAAUUGGAUAGGAAUGUACAGUGUUCUGGAUCUUCUUGUCAUCCCUUGGUUGGUGAUUACAUAUAAAUUGGCAAUUAAACUCGGUUUACAAAACAAACGAAGUUUGUGACGGCCAUGCGCAUGGAUUAUCCUAACCCAAAUUAAUAGACUAUAUAGUAUUAGUCACACAACGCAUUAUUAUUGAUUAUCAUUCUUAAUUUUUCAAGGCCAUAUAAUAUCAAACAAACACAUAGUAGUUAAAUUUCUAAUCGAAAGUCUUUAUUUAUUAAAAUUAAGAGAGUUGUGACAGAGCUGCCCGCUAUAAAUUUUGGUCUUCUUCCUUUUGUAAUUCGUCGAAAAUUGAUUGACUAUAGAACCAAAAACAGAAAAUGAACUGUGGAUAAUAUUUUUUUUUGCAAAACUAGGCACAUUUGUUGACAUGUCUCCGUCUUGCCAAAUUAUAACCUUUUCUUCUUGUUGUUCUUAAUUUUCUGUUGUCCUUCAGAUAAAUUCGUAAUGAUGAGUAGUUGUUGGCUAUGUGGCCCAUGGAGAUAAGUCUCUUAUCAUAAGAGAAUAACCCACGCAACACACUAUUGCCCUUGUAACCAAAGGAGUGAGCAAUCAAUGUUCUCCGUGAGCUUAGGAAGAGCAAUUAUGCUGCUAUGCUUAUUACAGGCCUGAUUUCUUCAUCGCAAUUUCAUGUUAAGUACUAUAUGUUGGAGUCAACCAGAAUAAUCUCACGGCCACGAUUGCAGCUAGGUCGAGAAAAGUGAGUCCCAUUAGUGCCAUGUUAGCUUUUUUAACGAGAUGCAAAACAUUGAUUAAGAGGGCAAAGUGAGAUGCAAAACAUUGGUCAAGAGGGCAACAAGAAUCGCUUUAACUUCUUAGGCAUGUGAGAUUUGAGCAGGCUUUUCUAGGAUAAUUUAAUAGUACAAGAAGAUUGGACUUGUGGUAAAAAGGCAGACAUAAAAGUUGAAGCAAAUUAAACCUGUUUUCAACAACAUCAACAAUUAAUAACGAAACAAAAGACAAAUAAAAAUAAAAAUAAAAAUAUGAGACCUACCAAGCAUAGCUAUUACAAUAAAAUCUUCACUUUAUUCUAUAUUUUUAGUGAAGGGUACCAAAAACUACGAAUAUUAUUGCUAUAAUCUUCUAAAGGCUCCUUUUUUUCUAAUGCCAAAUCAUACUCCUUCUGAUUAUAAUGAUGUCGGCAAUAAGUUCCAUUAGUUUCAAAGGCCUUCACAAGCUUGAAGAAUAACAACUUCAUCGCCGGAUCCUGAACAUCGGCAUAAGCUUUGUAGUCGAGUAGAAUCUGAUGAGAUCUUACUCGAAAAUACCCCAAAACUAAAGCUUGAAAAUGGAUAGGUGCGCACUCCAACAUAUGCAGCAUGGCUUCCCAAGUUUGCACAAAAACCCUUUUGCUUAAUUUCGAAGAUAUCUCUCUGUCACGAUCAAUACCAUCCACGAGAAUCAAUUCCCGAAUUGAAACAAGUGUGUCCCAUAUGUUUGACUGUUGUAGAUUGGCGUCAAGCAAAACUUUGCCGUUUUUGGGCAAGUUAGGGUUUAGAUCAAGGCCAUAAGAGCGGAAAAAGAGUUGGGGAGGCUCUGUCGGAUAAUUGCUUGGAAAGAAUAUGUCGAAGAAGAACAAGCCUUGGUGAUAAGGAGGACCUUCUCGACAAGUUAUCAUCUCAUCAUCUUCUCGAUCAUCAUCAACUAUCACGACACCUUUUCGACCCAUUAUCUUGAUCUUGUCACGUUUUGGAAGACGUAUGAAGUCACCUCCACCAACUAUCACAGCUCUCAUAAGAUCAAUCCUUGAAGUAUAACCCCUAACCAAAAUUGAACUUGGGGGAAGUUGUCUUAUUGAUUCCCAUUCUCCUUGAAUCCUUUUGGCUAGCGAUGCUUGUAUAUUAUAUGGCUUGUUGAUGAAGUGAUGAUUAAAAGGAGGGUUAGGAAGCUCAUCAAAGUUCUUCAACUCUUUGAGCCUCCUCUCAACCCCAUCUACUUCUUCUUCAACUUCCCCAUGAAUCUCUGAUGUUGCAGUCUCAUCCACUUCCUUCUUGAUCGAUGGUUUGUACGACGACCUAUAAUAAUUACCAACCUCGUCUUCAAAUUCCAUUGAUUUGAUAUCGAUAUAUUGCUUCUUCUCUUUAGUAAGCUUUCUUGACGUACGCCAGCUUUAAAAUCUCUCUUGCACUGAAUUUACAUAUAUAUGGUGAUCAUGUUCUGUUGACAAGUCCAUAUUUAAUUAGGAUUCUAGUUCCUUACUUAGUUAGGAUUUUAGUUACUUAUCCAUUCAUUUAGUCAUAUUGUAAUUGAAAUUGAUUUCAUAUUGUAAUUGAAAUUGAUUUCCUAUUUUAUAAUUAACGUUGUACUUCUUUUUAAAUACACCCACAUUGGAAAAGAAUAAAGACAUGAGCAUAAUUGAAUAUUUGUCCUACUUAAUUUAACAUAUUCAUCCUUGAACGACUCUUUGCUAGGUUACCUCUUUCUCCAAAUCGUAUAUCUCCAAGUUAGAAUAGGAUACUUCUAAGCAAAGUAAAGUGUUCUCCAAGUUAUUAAAACUGUCCCGGACUCUUAAUUGAGCCCUAGCUAGUUGCGUUGGGAUAUUCUUUCAAAAACAUUACAACUCUUGACAGAAGCAAAUCCUAAUCCAUGUUUUAUCAUCCUUCAAAGAUUGCUAAGAAGCUUCCGAAUGGGGUGAAGGCCCAAACCCUAAUCCAUGGCACAAAGUCCAUAUGAAAGUGGCCCAAGUCUGCCAAAUCCUCUAACAAAGAAGAGGAAAUCUAGCAAAUGCAUGGUAAAAUAGCAUAGCAUGUAUGAUGAUGUAUCAUUAACAUGCAACACCAUACAUUAGUCGGCCACAACAAAAAAAAAAAAAAAAAAAAAAAAAAAAAAAAUCCACCGAAAAAUCAAGUGUCACAAGAUCAAAGGCCAACCAAAUGUGAGGGUCAAAGAAAACGAUAUUCUUGUUCGAAUUUUAAGGCCACCAAUUAGUCGUUCGUUCGUUAGUUAGUUUGUUUGUUAGGACUCAGGAGGAAACGUGGUCUAAAAUAUUUUACGUUAAGGGGAAGCUGUGGCCUGGUAUUGGGCCGACCAAAAGAUUGAUAUGGAUAAUUCUAUUCCAUUCAAGAAUGUUGUAACGCGUCUUCACAAGCAAAUCAAAUGAGUCAUCACUUGCUACUAUUGACUUUUGGGUUGCCCCUUGACUCUAAUUUGUUUCACAUUCUGAUUGGCUUCUUGAUUUGCAUUAACCUCACCUUUUCUGUUUGUUUCCUGGG
This 20066-nucleotide long non-coding RNA is filed under the name Prunus persica (peach). RNAcentral describes it as "long non-coding RNA (PPER_LNC002897)". Lineage: Eukaryota; Viridiplantae; Streptophyta; Magnoliopsida; Rosales; Rosaceae. The record is from RNAcentral.